Molecule: ribosomal RNA, 402 nt
Filed under: uncultured bacterium
Lineage: Bacteria
Description: bacterial SSU rRNA
Rfam family: Bacterial small subunit ribosomal RNA
Source: RNAcentral
GGAAUAUUGGGCAAUGGGCGAAAGCCUGACCCAGCAACGCCGCGUGAGUGAAGAAGGCCUUCGGGUUGUAAAGCUCUGUUAUAGGGGACGAAGUGCGUGACGGUACCCUAUAAGGAAGCCCCGGCUAACUACGUGCCAGCAGCCGCGGUAAUACGUAGGGGGCGAGCGUUGUCCGGAAUGACUGGGCGUAAAGGGCGUGUAGGCGGCGGAUUAAGUCUGGAGUGAAAGUCCUGCUUUCAAGGUGGGAACUGCUUUGGAUACUGGUCUGCUUGAGUGCGGAAGAGGUAAGUGGAAUUCCCAGUGUAGCGGUGAAAUGCGUAGAGAUUGGGAGGAACACCAGUGGCGAAGGCGACUUACUGGGCCGUAACUGACGCUGAGGCGCGAAAGCGUGGGGAGCGAACA